RNAcentral lists this ribosomal RNA (478 nucleotides) under uncultured bacterium. RNAcentral's name for it is "partial 16S ribosomal RNA". It matches the Rfam family "Bacterial small subunit ribosomal RNA", at positions 28 to 523 of the family's 1533-position model. The record is from RNAcentral.
GACGAACGCUGGCGGCGUGCUUAACACAUGCAAGUCGAACGAGAAAGCCCUUCGGGGUAAGUACAGUGGCGAACGGGUGAGUAACACGUGGGCGACCUGCCCCUAACUUUGGGAUAACUACUCGAAAGAGUAGCUAAUACCGGAUAUGAAGUCUGUAGGCAUCUACGGAUUUGGAAAGUUUUUCGGUUAGGGAUGGGCCCGCGGCCUAUCAGCUUGUUGGUGGGGUGAUGGCCUACCAAGGCGACGACGGGUAGCCGGCCUGAGCGGGUGACCGGCCACACUGGGACUGAGAUACGGCCCAGACUCCUACGGGAGGCAGCAGUGGGGAAUAUUGCACAAUGGGCGCAAGCCUGAUGCAGCGACGCCGCGUGAGGGAUGACGGCCUUCGGGUUGUAAACCUCUUUUAGUAGGGAAGAAGCGAAAGUGACGGUACCUGCAGAAAAAGCACCGGCUAACUACGUGCCAGCCGCCGCGGUAA